Molecule: ribosomal RNA, 263 nt
Filed under: uncultured bacterium
Lineage: Bacteria
Description: partial 16S ribosomal RNA
Rfam family: Bacterial small subunit ribosomal RNA
Source: RNAcentral
CCGGCGCACGGGUGAGUAACACGUAUGCAACCUGGCCGUCACAGGUGGAUAACCGGAAGAAAUUCCGACUAAUACAGCAUAACACUCCUGAGGGACAUCCUUCGGGAGUCAAAGGAGGCAACUCCGGUGACGGAUGGGCAUGCGGCGCAUUAGGUAGUUGGUAGGGUAACGGCCUACCAAGCCGACGAUGCGUAGGGGUUCUGAGAGGAAGGUCCCCCACAUUGGAACUGAGACACGGCCCAAACUCCUACGGAAGGCAGCAG